GACGAACGCUGGCGGCGUGCUUAACACAUGCAAGUCGAACGGAAAGGCCCUGCUUUUGUGGGGUGCUCGAGUGGCGAACGGGUGAGUAACACGUGAGUAACCUGCCCUUGACUUUGGGAUAACUUCAGGAAACUGGGGCUAAUACCGGAUAGGAGCUCCUGCUGCAUGGUGGGGGUUGGAAAGUUUCGGCGGUUGGGGAUGGACUCGCGGCUUAUCAGCUUGUUGGUGGGGUAGUGGCUUACCAAGGCUUUGACGGGUAGCCGGCCUGAGAGGGUGACCGGCCACAUUGGGACUGAGAUACGGCCCAGACUCCUACGGGAGGCAGCAGUGGGAAAUAUUGCACAGUGGGCGGAAGCCUGAUGCAGCAGCGCCGCGUGCGGGAUGACGGCCUUCGGGUUGUGAACCGCUUUCGCCUGUGACGAAGCGUGAGUGACGGUAAUGGGUAAAGAAGCACCGGCUAACUACGUG
RNAcentral lists this ribosomal RNA (468 nucleotides) under uncultured bacterium. RNAcentral's name for it is "partial 16S ribosomal RNA". It matches the Rfam family "Bacterial small subunit ribosomal RNA", at positions 28 to 507 of the family's 1533-position model. The record is from RNAcentral.